GCAACAUUGAAUUAUAAGAAAUGGGCAAAAGAAAUUGCAAACGGGCUAAACUACGUCCAUGAGAGGGGUCUCGUACAUCGACAUCUUAAAUUGGAAAAUGUUCUGAUAAAAGACAACGACGUAGCAGCGAUAUCUGAUGUUGGAAUUGUUGGUGAAAUCAAGGAAACUGAAAAAAGUAUCAUUUACCAUGCACCAGAAGUACUGGAAAACUUGCAUCAUAUGACAAAAGCUGCAGAUAUUUACAGUUUUGGUAUCAUGCUUUGGGAGAUGUGGUAUGGUGUCGUGGCUUUCGAGGAACUCAUGCCACUUGUGAAAGAGGAAUUCAAAUCAAAGGUCAUCAAAGGUCACAGACCAAAAAAUGACCAAAAUAAAAUUACCAUUCCCAUGAUGCAAAAUUUGAUGACGUUUUGCUGGUUGCAUAAACAUGAUCAAAGACCGACAAGUAAAAUGUGUUUUCAAAUGUUAGAAAAUUAAAAAGUUGGAAGAACAUCACGAGGUCCUAGGAAGUUUUCAUUUACAAACUAUAUGAUGUGUUAUCCAUUUGCGCAUGAAAUAAAUCACGAGGUCCUAGGAAGUUUUCAUUUACAAACUAUAUGACGUGCUAUCCAUUUGCGCAUGAAAUAAAUUACGAGGUCCUAGGAAGUUUUCAUUUACAAACGAUAUGACGUGUUAGCCAUAUGCGUUAGCCAUACGUGUUAGCCAUAUGAAAUAAAUAAGCGUUUUAAUACUUUAUCAAUAUUAGAUUUUAAUUAUCGUGUUAAAAAUAUGUAGAAGUUUUUAUGGCUUAUAAUGUGUUAAUAAAUGCCAUAGAAACGCAUUAGAUAGAGUUUGAGAUGGCCAUACUGUUUCUAAAUUUCAGAAAAUAAAUAUAUGGAUCGGGCACACAGCUACUUCGUAAAUUUUGCUAAACUACAUAUGAUAUCAACUUUGUGAACCAAUGAUAUGUUUAAUAAACCUUUUGCUUAAGAAUUAUCAUAUAAUUGCCUUAAAACGCAAUAAUUUCGUAAUAUGAGUCAAAUAGAUCGAUACUGCAUAUAAAUCAAAACGUUUACAGACUUUAUAUGGUACCGUUUUCAAGGAAAUCUAAUUACGUGAACAGAGAUUUCAGAUGACAAUCCACGUAAAAAAACUAUGUGCAGACUGCAGUGGUCAAAUAAUUCAUUCAAAAUAUAAAAAUUUUUGGUCAUUUGUA
Long non-coding RNA from Xenia sp. Carnegie-2017, 1192 nucleotides. RefSeq lists it as uncharacterized. The transcript is spliced from 2 exons. NCBI's taxonomy places the organism in Eukaryota, Metazoa, Cnidaria, Anthozoa, Malacalcyonacea, Xeniidae. The record is from RefSeq and is a predicted model, not a curated record.